CCUGGGUGUGGUCGUGGGCACCUGUAGUCUCAACUACUUGGGAGGUUGAGGCAAGAGGAUCGCUUGAGCUCAGUGGCUCUGGGCUAUAGUGUGCUCUGUCAAUCGGGUGACCACGCUAAGAUUGGCAUCAAUAUGGUGACCUUCUAGGAGCAUAUGACCACCGUGUUGCCUAAGGAGGGGGGUGCCAGUCCACACUGGAAACAGAGCAGGUCCAAACUCCUGUGCUAAUCAGUCGUGAGAUCGUGCUUGUGAAGAGUCACUGCACUCCAGCCUGGGCCACAGUGUGGGAGCUUUUCUAUA
RNAcentral lists this signal recognition particle RNA (300 nucleotides) under Suricata suricatta (meerkat). Its description in RNAcentral is "Metazoan signal recognition particle RNA (ENSSSUG00005011138.1)". It matches the Rfam family "Metazoan signal recognition particle RNA". Rfam says of the family: The signal recognition particle (SRP) is a universally conserved ribonucleoprotein. It is involved in the co-translational targeting of proteins to membranes. The eukaryotic SRP consists of a 300-nucleotide 7S RNA and six proteins: SRPs 72, 68, 54, 19, 14, and 9. The record is from Rfam by way of RNAcentral. Lineage: Eukaryota; Metazoa; Chordata; Mammalia; Carnivora; Herpestidae.